GACUACGGCCACACCACCCUGAAAGCGCCUGAUCUCGGAAGUGAUCCAGGGCCGGGCCUGGUUAGUACCUUGAAUUGAGACCUCCUGGGAAUACCACGUGUCGUGGGCU
This 109-nucleotide ribosomal RNA is filed under the name Xenopus laevis (African clawed frog). Lineage: Eukaryota; Metazoa; Chordata; Amphibia; Anura; Pipidae. The record is from RNAcentral.